RNAcentral lists this long non-coding RNA (395 nucleotides) under Homo sapiens (human). RNAcentral describes it as "HSALNT0308670". The record is from RNAcentral. Lineage: Eukaryota; Metazoa; Chordata; Mammalia; Primates; Hominidae.
GUAUGAGCAGCCAGGAUAUUGAUAGGGGCAGUCAAGAAAAGAAUUCUACUGAAAUAAGGUAAGGAAGCCAAUCUACUCUACUGAAGCAGCAGAAGACAGGGAGACCUGAUGUGACCCAGCUGACAGCCAACACCAACAUGAUAAUGAGGCCACCUUGGACAGUCCAGCUGACUAGCUAGUAGAAUGCAGCUGCCUGAAUGAGCCAAGAAGGCAAAUCAGCAGACAAACCACCCUGCCAACCCAUGGAACCAUGAUAAAUAAUAAAUUUGUUUGUUUUCACAAAGGAAGUGUGGGGAUGAUUUGUUACACAGCUGUAGAUAACUGGUGUAUCUUACAUGAAAGUCCCAUUUCCUCCAGGUGGUUCUGGUUUUCUGCUAUAUCUGGAAUAGUAGCUU